RNAcentral lists this long non-coding RNA (228 nucleotides) under Mytilus galloprovincialis (Mediterranean mussel). Lineage: Eukaryota; Metazoa; Mollusca; Bivalvia; Mytilida; Mytilidae. The record is from RNAcentral.
UUCAUAGGGGUGAACAAAAAAAGAUUGUUUUAUACUGUCAGGUUUGAGGUAACGGUAGGUUAUACUUUGUGUAUAAUGUAUUAAGGGGAGAUAAUCAAUCCAAAUGACUUCAUAGGGUGAACAAUAAAGAUUUGUUUUAUACUGUCAGGUUUGAGGUAAUGGUAGGUUAUACUUUGUGUAUAAUGUAUAAAGGGGAGAUAAUCAAUCCAAAUGACUUCAUAGGGGUUG